Molecule: ribosomal RNA, 53 nt
Filed under: Trichophyton tonsurans
Lineage: Eukaryota; Fungi; Ascomycota; Eurotiomycetes; Onygenales; Arthrodermataceae
Description: partial 18S ribosomal RNA
Rfam family: Eukaryotic small subunit ribosomal RNA
Source: RNAcentral
UAUCUGGUUGAUUCUGCCAGUAGUCAUAUGCUUGUCUCAAAGAUAAGCCAUGC